RNAcentral lists this transfer RNA (73 nucleotides) under Ixodes scapularis (black-legged tick). It matches the Rfam family "tRNA". From Rfam's summary of the family: Transfer RNA (tRNA) molecules are approximately 80 nucleotides in length. Their secondary structure includes four short double-helical elements and three loops (D, anti-codon, and T loops). The record is from Rfam by way of RNAcentral. Lineage: Eukaryota; Metazoa; Arthropoda; Arachnida; Ixodida; Ixodidae.
UCCUAGUUAGCUCGGUUGGUAGAGCGCUCCACUGGAAAUGGAGAGGUCCCUGUUUGGAUUCCAGUACCAGGUG